RNAcentral lists this ribosomal RNA (621 nucleotides) under uncultured bacterium. Its description in RNAcentral is "bacterial SSU rRNA". It matches the Rfam family "Bacterial small subunit ribosomal RNA", at positions 61 to 671 of the family's 1533-position model. The record is from RNAcentral.
GUCGAGGGGCAUCAUGGCGGUCGCUUGCGACCGCUGAUGGCGACCGGUGCACGGGUGCGUAACGCGUAUCGAACCUGCCGCAUACCCGGGGAUAGCCUUGCGAAAGCAAGAUUAAUACCCGAUGUUCUCACUGUUCCGCAUGUUACGGUAGCAAAGAAUUUCGGUAUGCGAUGGCGAUGCGUCCCAUUAGCUAGUUGGCGGGGUAACGGCCCACCAAGGCUCCGAUGGGUAGGGGUUCUGAGAGGAAGGUCCCCCACACUGGAACUGAGACACGGUCCAGACUCCUACGGGAGGCAGCAGUGAGGAAUAUUGGUCAAUGGACGCAAGUCUGAACCAGCCAAGUAGCGUGCAGGAUGACGGCCCUCCGGGUUGUAAACUGCUUUUAGUUGGGAAUAAAAGGGGGCUCGUGAGCCCCGUAUUGUAUGUACCAUCAGAAAAAGGACCGGCUAAUUCCGUGCCAGCAGCCGUGGUAAUACGGAAGGUCCGGGCGUUAUCCAGAUUUAUUGGGUUUAAAGGGAGCGUAGGCCGGCUUUUAAGUCAGCUGUGAAAGUCCGCGGCUCAACCGUGGAAUUGCAGUUGAAACUGGAGGCCUUGAGUGCACACAGGGAUGCCGGAAUUCAU